GACGAACGCUGGCGGCGUGCUUAACACAUGCAAGUCGAGCGGUAAGGCCCUUUCGGGGGUACGACGAGCGGCGAACGGGUGAGUAACACGUGGGUGACCUGCCCUCAGCUCUGGGAUAAGCCUGGGAAACCGGGUCUAAUACUGGAUAUGACUCCAUGACGCAUGUUGUGGGGUGGAAAGCCUUGCGCGGCUGAGGAUGGGCCCGCGGCCUAUCAGCUUGUUGGUGGGGUGANGGCCUACCAAGGCGACGACGGGUAGCCGGCCUGAGAGGCGACCGGCCACACUGGGACUGAGACACGGCCCAGACUCCUACGGGAGGCAGCAGUGGGGAAUCUUGCGCAAUGGGCGAAAGCCUGACGCAGCGACG
This 367-nucleotide ribosomal RNA is filed under the name uncultured bacterium. RNAcentral's name for it is "bacterial SSU rRNA". It matches the Rfam family "Bacterial small subunit ribosomal RNA", at positions 28 to 396 of the family's 1533-position model. The record is from RNAcentral.